UCCUUUGGGGUGAGGUAGUAGGUUGUAUAGUUUUAGGGUUAGACCCUGACUGUCAGAUAACUAUACAAUCUACUGUCUUUCCUGAAG
This is a microRNA precursor of Laticauda laticaudata (blue-ringed sea krait), 87 nucleotides long. Ensembl annotates it as microRNA let-7a-3. NCBI's taxonomy places the organism in Eukaryota, Metazoa, Chordata, Lepidosauria, Squamata, Elapidae. The record is from Ensembl.